GUGCCAGCAGCCGCGGUAAUACCGGCAGCCCGAGUGAUGGCCGAUCUUAUUGGGCCUAAGGCGUCCGUAGCUGGCUGCGCAAGUCCGUCGGGAAAUCCACUCGCCCAACGAGUGGGCGUCCGACGGAAACUGCACAGCUUGGGACCGGAAGGCUCGAAGGGUACGUUCGGGGUAGGAGUGAAAUCCCAUAAUCCCGCACGGACCACCGAUGGCGAAAGCACUUCGAGAAAACGGAUCCGACAGUGAGGGACGAGAGCUGGGAUCUCGAACCGGAUUAGAAACCCCUGUAGUCC
RNAcentral lists this ribosomal RNA (293 nucleotides) under uncultured bacterium. RNAcentral's name for it is "partial 16S ribosomal RNA". It matches the Rfam family "Archaeal small subunit ribosomal RNA", at positions 455 to 747 of the family's 1478-position model. The record is from RNAcentral.